RNAcentral lists this ribosomal RNA (567 nucleotides) under Streptosporangium sp. RNAcentral describes it as "bacterial SSU rRNA". It matches the Rfam family "Bacterial small subunit ribosomal RNA", at positions 243 to 826 of the family's 1533-position model. Lineage: Bacteria; Bacillati; Actinomycetota; Actinomycetes; Streptosporangiales; Streptosporangiaceae. The record is from RNAcentral.
AGCUUGUUGGUGGGGUAGUGGCCUACCAAGGCGACGACGGGUAGCCGGCCUGAGAGGGCGACCGGCCACACUGGGACUGAGACACGGCCCAGACUCCUACGGGAGGCAGCAGUGGGGAAUAUUGCGCAAUGGGCGAAAGCCUGACGCAGCGACGCCGCGUGGGGGAUGACGGCCUUCGGGUUGUAAACCUCUUUCAGCAGGGACGAAGUUGACGUGUACCUGCAGAAGAAGCGCCGGCUAACUACGUGCCAGCAGCCGCGGUAAUACGUAGGGCGCAAGCGUUGUCCGGAAUUAUUGGGCGUAAAGAGCUCGUAGGUGGCUUGUCGCGUCGGGUGUGAAAGCUUGGGGCUUAACUCCAGGUCUGCAUUCGAUACGGGCUGGCUAGAGGUAGGUAGGGGAGAACGGAAUUCCUGGUGUAGCGGUGAAAUGCGCAGAUAUCAGGAGGAACACCGGUGGCGAAGGCGGUUCUCUGGGCCUUACCUGACGCUGAGGAGCGAAAGCGUGGGGAGCGAACAGGAUUAGAUACCCUGGUAGUCCACGCUGUAAACGUUGGGCGCUAGGUGUGGG